Molecule: unclassified non-coding RNA, 806 nt
Filed under: Hevea brasiliensis (rubber tree)
Lineage: Eukaryota; Viridiplantae; Streptophyta; Magnoliopsida; Malpighiales; Euphorbiaceae
Source: RNAcentral
AAAUCCCAUCUGUUUUUAUUUUUUAUUUUUUUUCAGGAAAACCUCACUAGUUUUGUGAAUAUGAUCAGAUGUACACUAUAUAUAUUUAAUAAUUUUCCUUUUCGGCAUGCGUAAAAUUGCCUCUACUUCAAAAGCAUGAGCAUCAGUAACUUCAUGCUUAUCUGGUUCUGCAUAAUUAUUUUCACCAUGGCGGAACCGGAUUGAUCAAGCAUGGAGAGACCACCAACUUCCAGCAACCAUAUAGAAAAUUUUUCCAAUCACAUACAUAAUCCCAUUUGUUUAGAAUUCUUUUUAUCAGCUAGGCAAGUUGACUCGUCCAGUACCAUCCUGAUCUUUUUGCUGGAUUCACUUGUCCAACUACUGUCACUUUCCUGAAUCUACUUAUUUAUUACACCCUUUCAGUAGGGGGAUUCGGGCUUCUUAGAUGACUAUUCUGACUAGAUGAAGAGUCAAAGAACACUACUGAAUUUCAUUUUUCAUGUGAGAUUUUUCAAGUCUGACAGCUUUUUCAUGCUAUAUUCGACUACAUUCAACUACCAGCGCCUACUGUUCUACUUGUUACUUGUCAAAUGACUUGCACGAAAAAAUAUAAAUGAAAGGAAUAACAUAAAAAAACUUAAAAAAAAUAAAGGGGACAACGGGGGGAAAUUGCAAAAACAGCUGAUUAUGUGACUAAAAGUGAACCUCUACUUUCUUUUUUUUCUUUUCUUUUUUGUCACCUUAAUUCCUUUCAUGGAUAGGGUGGGAGAGGGAUUAGACUCCAGCCACUUCACCGGUAGCUCCGGUAGGCAGGGCUGUACAUACAG